AAAGCUUUAAGUUAAAAUAAACUUAUAACCUUCAAAGUUAUAUAUACAUAAAAUGUAAGCUUUA
RNAcentral lists this transfer RNA (64 nucleotides) under Creontiades dilutus (green mirid). RNAcentral describes it as "tRNA-Trp". The record is from RNAcentral. Lineage: Eukaryota; Metazoa; Arthropoda; Insecta; Hemiptera; Miridae.